RNAcentral lists this unclassified non-coding RNA (998 nucleotides) under Hevea brasiliensis (rubber tree). The record is from RNAcentral. Lineage: Eukaryota; Viridiplantae; Streptophyta; Magnoliopsida; Malpighiales; Euphorbiaceae.
UCGGAAUAUUGUGAAGUUAUAUGGGUUUUACUACCACCAGGGUUCCAAUCUACUACUUUAUGAAUACAUGGAAAAGGGUAGUUUGGGAGAAUUACUCCAUGGAUCAUCCUGUAGUCUUGACUGGGGGACGAGAUUCAAGAUUGCAGUUGGAGCUGCUCAGGGCCUUGCUUAUCUGCAUCACGAUUGCAAGCCUCGGAUUUUUCAUCGUGACAUUAAGUCCAAUAACAUUCUGCUUGAUGACAAAUAUGAAGCUCAUGUUGGGGACUUUGGGUUAGCAAAGGUGAUUGACAUGCCACAAUCUAAAUCAAUGUCUGCAGUUGCUGGUUCUUAUGGCUAUAUAGCCCCUGAGUAUGCAUACACCAUGAAAGUGACUGAAAAAUGUGACAUAUAUAGCUAUGGAGUGGUCCUUUUGGAGUUGCUGACUGGCAGAACACCUGUGCAACCACUAGAUCAAGGUGGCGAUCUAGUAACCUGGGUGAGAAAUUACAUUCAGGUUCAUACAUUGUCACCAGGAGUACUUGAUGCUCGACUCGAUCUGGACGAUGAGAAUACAGUCUCUCACAUGAUUACAGUCAUGAAAAUUGCUCUACUUUGCACAAGUAUGUCUCCUUUUGAUCGACCAACAAUGCGGGAAGCUGUUUUGAUGCUUAUCGAAACCAAUAAACGAGUAGGACACUUCGAGUCAUUCCCAAGUCAUCAUGCUAAUUCAAGUGAAGGACACUUUGAUUCAUCCCCAAGUCAUCAUGCUACUUCAAGUGAUGAACUGAUUGUACAUGUUCAAUAAAUAAUUUUGAUAGAUUGGGAUGAUUCUUUAGCAGCUAAUUCAUCCUAGUAUUAGUUACAUAUAGAGAAGAACACGCUACUUGUAUAUUCCUAAUACAAUAAUGUUGCUUUUGGCUGCUAGGCCAAUCAGAAGUGCUCUUAAAAUUUUCUUCUCAACUACUGCUAUUCGAGAAGGAUCAUAAUGUGUAGAAAUGCAUUGCUCUUGCUUUUGUUAA